Non-coding RNA from Paramuricea clavata, 86 nucleotides. The record is from the annotation of a GenBank genome assembly. Lineage: Eukaryota; Metazoa; Cnidaria; Anthozoa; Malacalcyonacea; Plexauridae.
GGUAGCGUGGCCGAGUGGUCUAAGGCGCUGGUUUUAAGCACAAGUCCAAAAUUUGGAUGACGUGUGUUCGAAUCCCACCGCUGCUA